CCAGCACAACGGAGGAACAGGGUCGAGCAACAGAAAAACAAAAAUCAACAAUAUAUAUAAAAGCUCAAGAUGAUUAAACUCGGUCAGAUCACUGAGUAGGUAUAAGAGUGUAUGGACUCACAGAAGCCAGGUUCAUUAGAUAGCAUAGAUUGGGAUUGGCAAUAGGACCCAAGAAUGGAUUUCAACUCUGUUCACAAGGAUGCUUCACUUGGUUCUCUGGAGAAGCAGCUUAUCUGCCCCAUCUGCUUGGAGGUCUUCACCAAACCUGUGGUCAUUCUGCCAUGCCAGCACAACCUUUGUCGUAAAUGUGCCAAUGAACUUUACCAGCCAUCUCUGUUUCAGGUUGGAAUUGGGGGACGCUUUCGCUGCCCAUCAUGCCGGCAUGAAGUUGUUCUGGACCGCCAUGGGGUUUAUGGGCUCCAGAGAAACCUACUGGUGGAAAAUAUCAUUGAUGCCUACAAGAAAGCAUCUGCAAGCUUAAAGCCUCCUCCUCUAAAACCCCAGUCACAAAUUACCUGUGAGGAGCAUGAAGGGGAGAAGCUGAAUGUUUACUGCAUCACUUGUCAGAUUCCCACCUGUUCACUCUGUAAAGUGUUCGGGGCACAUAACUCCUGCCAAGUGGCCCCACUCACUGAGGUCUGCCAGCAGCAAAAGGUUGAACUCACUGAUGAGAUUGGAUCACUGAUCGCCAAAAAUGAGCACAUUCAAGCCUACAUUAAUGACCUGGAGGAGAUCUGUAGAACUAUUGAGGAGAACAGCCGAAACCAGAAGCAGAUACUGUGUGAGAAGUUCGAUCGGAUGUGCGGCAUCCUGGAAGAGAGGCGUAAGAUCAUGUCACAGCGAAUCACAUGUGAGCAGGAUGAGAAGACCAGCCAGGUUCAGAAUCUGGUUCAUACUUACAGUGAGCAUGUUGAUUCAAACGUGAAGUUGGUGCAAACAGCUUUAAACACCAUGGAGGAACCAGAGAUGGCUGCAUUUGUACAGACCUCAGGAGACAUUAUUGAAAAAGUCAGCAAUGCAACUACCUGCACCCUGACGGAGACCUUACAGCCCGGAUAUGCAAACAUGGACCACUAUAAAGUUGAUUUUAAUGCAGAAGAGAGAGCUCUCUGCCAGCUUGAUUUCAUUAAAACUGAAGAGGAAGUUUCAGCAGAGACUUCAUUAGAACCAGAACCUGAACCACAAUCUGAGCCAGACCCGGGGCCAGAACCUGAAACUGAGCCUGAACAUGAUGAAACAUACAGUCUGCUGGGCAGCCAUGUACCAGACCAUGAACUGAAGUCAGCAAACUGCGAGAUAAAAAAUGCUUUUUCUGAGACGAGAGAGGAUACCCGGGCACAAACAGAAUCCAUAGUGUUGCAGAGUCCAGUUUAUGUUCCAGCAGACAUACAAACCAGGGCACAAUCAGAGGCGUGUGCAGUAACAAAGAAAGAAGUUCUGUGCGAGAAAGGAGGGUUAAAUACACAGCAGGCCAUCAUCCAUAUACUUUACGUUCUGGCUUUUCUUGUCAUACUCCAGAAGGUGUUGGGGAGCAUUCACUGCUUCUUUUGCAUAUAGCACUGCUGGAAAAGUUACAGCUUUCAGGGUAAACCCUGCUCAAUGGGAGCCCAGGGCAGCAGAGAGAUGGAACAGUGCACUGAUAUAUUCACAACCACUCUCAUGCCCCCCUGUGGUAGGGAAAAAGAGGCAGCCAUAAAGUAGAGGGGAGAUUCAAGGUAGUGAUUUGUUGUCCACUCCAUAGCUACAGACUUCCACUGCGGACAGCUUGUUGCAGGAACCCAGCUCUCUUUCUGCAACAAAUCAGUCUACUUGGAUCAGCUUAUUCUUUUCCUGGCUGAACCCACUCACCAAGAGGAACUGAUAGCCAAACUCAAUGAGAAGCCAUCGAGCCCAGAAGUCAUUUGCCUGCCCCUGCUACUACUACUGUUGUAGUUGUGUGUAAUGUUAGUCUAAACUAGGUCUGAAUGCACUAUAUAUGUGAUAGGUGUAGAUCAGGUAUGUGUAAAAAGACUUCCAGCAUUGUGGAAAUGGUUUGAGAAGGACGAGUCCUUUCCUGUUCCAGCAUGACUGUACCCAUGUGCACACAAAUAAAGUCCAUAAAAGACACAGUUUGAUAGUGUGAUGUGAACAGCCUUAACCCAGUAUACCUUGGAUAAUUCUGGAUAUAGAAUUGGAUUGGUGAUUGCGAGACGGACCUUUUCUUACAUCAGUACUUGGCUUUACAUAUGCUCUAUUGACUGAAAAGACACAAACCCACAGAAUGUGAAAAACU
Molecule: RNA transcript, 2272 nt
Organism: Trichomycterus rosablanca
Lineage: Eukaryota; Metazoa; Chordata; Actinopteri; Siluriformes; Trichomycteridae
Gene: trim101
Gene name: tripartite motif containing 101
Exons: 11
Source: RefSeq, a predicted model, not a curated record